Molecule: ribosomal RNA, 253 nt
Filed under: uncultured bacterium
Lineage: Bacteria
Description: partial 16S ribosomal RNA
Rfam family: Archaeal small subunit ribosomal RNA
Source: RNAcentral
UACCAGCACCCCGAGUGGUCGGGACGAUUAUUGGGCCUAAAGCAUCCGUAGCCGGUUUUACAAGUCCUCCGUUAAAUCCAGCUGCUUAACAGGUGGGCUGCGGAGGAUACUAUAAGACUAGGAGGCAGGAGAGGCAAGCGGUACUCAGUGGGUAGGGGUAAAAUCCGUUGAUCCAUUGAAGACCACCAGUGGCGAAGGCGGCUUGCCAGAAUGCGCUCGACGGUGAGGGAUGAAAGCUGGGGGAGCAAACCGG